GUACCGUCCAAACGUUAUUCGGAAUUACUGGGCUUAAAGGGUAUGUAGGCGGCGCUGUUAGUCGGGUGUGAAAUCCCUCGGCUCAACCGAGGAAUUGCGCCCGAUACUGCAGUGCUUGAGGGAGACAGAGGUAAGCGGAACUGAUGGUGGAGCGGUGAAAUGCGUUGAUAUCAUCAGGAACACCGGUGGCGAAAGCGGCUUACUGGGUCUCUUCUGACGCUGAGAUACGAAAGCCAGGGGAGCGAAGGGGAUUAGAUACCCCCGUAGUCCUGGCCGUAAACGUUGAGCACUUGAUCGAGGGCCCCCCCAUAGGCUCUCGGUCGUAGCGAAAGUGUUAAGUGCUCCGCCUGGGGAGUAUGGUCGCAAGGCUG
RNAcentral lists this ribosomal RNA (371 nucleotides) under uncultured bacterium. Its description in RNAcentral is "bacterial SSU rRNA". It matches the Rfam family "Bacterial small subunit ribosomal RNA", at positions 527 to 896 of the family's 1533-position model. The record is from RNAcentral.